CGAGAAUCUGAUGCUUUGGUCGAUACAAAGUCCUUUGUUACCAGCUAAUGCCUUGUCUCCUCCCAGCGUUAAAAGAUCUAAUGAUACCUCUCCUGAUAGCUGGUUGUUAGAGAGAUCCAAUGAAGACAGCUUCAGAUUGUCCAAGCUAGUUGGUAUUGUACCAGUGAGUCUGUUGUGUGAAAGAUUCAGAGAGUUCAAAGAGG
This 203-nucleotide unclassified non-coding RNA is filed under the name Hevea brasiliensis (rubber tree). The record is from RNAcentral. Lineage: Eukaryota; Viridiplantae; Streptophyta; Magnoliopsida; Malpighiales; Euphorbiaceae.